RNAcentral lists this ribosomal RNA (755 nucleotides) under uncultured bacterium. RNAcentral's name for it is "bacterial SSU rRNA". It matches the Rfam family "Bacterial small subunit ribosomal RNA", at positions 8 to 756 of the family's 1533-position model. The record is from RNAcentral.
AGAGUUUGAUCAUGGCUCAGAUUGAACGCUGGCGGCAGGCUUAACACAUGCAAGUCGAGCGGAAACGAAGGUAGCUUGCUACCAGGCGUCGAGCGGCGGACGGGUGAGUAAUGCUUAGGAAUCUACCGAGUAGUGGGGGAUAGCCAUUGGAAACGAUGAUUAAUACCGCAUAUAUCCUACGGGGGAAAGCAGGGGGCCUUCGGGCCUUGCGCUAUUCGAUGAGCCUGAGUGAGAUUAGCUAGUUGGUGGGGCAAAGGCCUACCAAGGCGACGAUCUCUAGCUGGUCUGAGAGGAUGAUCAGCCACACUGGGACUGAGACACGGCCCAGACUCCUACGGGAGGCAGCAGUGGGGAAUAUUGCACAAUGGACGAAAGUCUGAUGCAGCCAUGCCGCGUGUGUGAAGAAGGCCUUCGGGUUGUAAAGCACUUUCAGCGAGGAGGAAAGGUCAGUAAGUAAUAUUUGCUGGCUGUGACGUUACUCGCAGAAGAAGCACCGGCUAAUUUAGUGCCAGCAGCCGCGGUAAUACUAAAGGUGCAAGCGUUAAUCGGAAUUACUGGGCGUAAAGCGCGCGUAGGUGGUUUGUUAAGUUGGAUGUGAAAGCCCAGGGCUCAACCUUGGAACUGCAUUCAAAACUGACUCACUAGAGUACGAGAGAGGUUAGUGGAAUUUCCUGUGUAGCGGUGAAAUGCGUAGAGAUGGGAAGGAACACCAGUGGCGAAGCGACUGACUGGCUCGAUACUGACACUGAGUGCGA